Non-coding RNA from Monodelphis domestica (gray short-tailed opossum), 468 nucleotides. The record is from RefSeq and is a predicted model, not a curated record. NCBI's taxonomy places the organism in Eukaryota, Metazoa, Chordata, Mammalia, Didelphimorphia, Didelphidae.
AGUGUUCAGAAACAUGUUAUCCAUGGAACUCCACACUGCAGGACUGCCAUUCAAAGUGUGUAAGAGAUCACUUUGCUCCUUCCUGAAUGGUGAAAUUCUGUCAAGCAAGUUGUGAACAGACACAGAAAUCUUGGUGUAAAGCUUCGUACUCCCAAAUGAGUCUUCAGCCUCCAGUGGCCAGUCGUAUCAGCCAUUCUUUUAUCUUACUGAAAUGGGAGCCAGUGAACUCUUCUGAUGUGAUGUACAUUGUGCAAUGGAAACUCACAGAAUAUCGGAGGAAAUGGAACGAAUCCAAGGCAAGUAUUUUCAAAAAUUGAACUUGAAUCAGAAUAAAAGAGAACAAAAAAAAAUAGCACCUCAUUUGAAGGGAUUCUUUGGUGGGCUCUACUAUAUCUGGUAAAGAUUCAAAAUGACUUGCCUUCCUUCUUGGACAGCGAAAGAAAUUAAGGAGAAUUAUUUAUGAAGGAG